RNAcentral lists this ribosomal RNA (301 nucleotides) under uncultured bacterium. Its description in RNAcentral is "partial 16S ribosomal RNA". It matches the Rfam family "Bacterial small subunit ribosomal RNA", at positions 509 to 807 of the family's 1533-position model. The record is from RNAcentral.
CAGUAGCCGCGGUAAUACGUAGGGUCCGAGCGUUGUCCGGAAUUAUUGGGCGUAAAGGGCUCGUAGGCGGUUUGUCGCGUCGGGAGUGAAAACCAGCAGCUUAACUGCUGGCCUGCUUUCGAUACGGGCAGACUUGAGGCAUUCAGGGGAGAACGGAAUUCCUGGUGUAGCGGUGAAAUGCGCAGAUAUCAGGAGGAACACCGGUGGCGAAGGCGGUUCUCUGGGAAUGUUCUGACGCUGAGGAGCGAAAGUGUGGGGAGCGAACAGGAUUAGAUACCCGUGUAGUCCCUGUCUCUUAUAC